ACGGGGACCCGCACAAGCAGCGGAGCGUGUGGUUUAAUUCGUUGCUACACGAAGAACCUUACCUGGGUUUGACAUAUAGGUUGUAGGGAACUGAAAAGGGACCGACCCUUCGGGGAGCCUAUACAGGUGUUGCAUGGCUGUCGUCAGCUCGUGUCGUGAGAUGUUCGGUUAAGUCCGCUAACGAGCGCAACCCUCGUCGUAUGUUAUAUGUGUCAUACGAGACUGCCGGUAAAAAGCCGGAGGAAGGUGAGGAUGAUGUCAAAUCAUCAUGCCCCUUAUGUCUUGGGCUUCACGCAUGCUACAAUGGCCGGUACAAAGGGCUGCGAUACCGCGAGGUGGAGCGAAUCCCAGAAAGCCGGUCUCAGUUCGGAUUGGGGUCUGCAACUCGACCCCAUGAAGUCGGAGUCGCUAGUAAUCGCAGAUCAGCAACGCUGCGGUGAAUACGUUCCCGGGCCUU
RNAcentral lists this ribosomal RNA (457 nucleotides) under uncultured Anaerolineaceae bacterium. RNAcentral's name for it is "bacterial SSU rRNA". It matches the Rfam family "Bacterial small subunit ribosomal RNA", at positions 913 to 1382 of the family's 1533-position model. The record is from RNAcentral. Lineage: Bacteria; Bacillati; Chloroflexota; Anaerolineae; Anaerolineales; Anaerolineaceae.